AAAUAUAUAAUUUUUAUAAAGUAUAGGUUUUAGUCUAGUAUUUAUAAAGAUUAGAUCCAUGACUUUGUAUGUAGUAUUUAAAAUUUAAUAUCAGAUAUGUAAUUUAGGGAUUAGAUCCAUGGCUUUGUUAUUGAUGUUUGUGAUGUAUGAAAGGUUUAGAGUUUAGAUAUAUCAAAUAAAAAGUUAAGAUUUAAAAUUUUAAAAUAAACUUUUGUAAGUAAUGGUUAGUAUAAGAUUAGGAUCUUUGAAAUUUAAGAAUUAAUAUAGAAAUAUUAGAUUAGAUUAGUGACUUUGUAUGUUGGAUUUAUGUUUGAGGUUUAGGGUAUUAGAUUUAGAGUAUAGAUUUAGAUUUAGUGUUUGAGGUUUAGAUUUUAAAUUUGAGAUUAGAUUUUUAAAAUGAUCUAAUUUGAGUUUAAGUUUAAGAUUUAUAUUAUAAGUUUGAAAAUAUUAGAUGAAAGGUUUAUGUUUGGAGUGUAGGGUAUUAGAUUUAGGGUGUAGAUUUAAGAUUUAGUGUUUGAGGUUUAUAAUUUAAAUUUGAGAUUAUAUUUUUAAAAUGAUAUUAUGAAAAUAUUAAAAUUUUAAAAUUUAUGUUUAGGGGUUAGGGUUUAAACCCCAAAUUAAUCAU
RNAcentral lists this long non-coding RNA (625 nucleotides) under Brassica napus (rape). RNAcentral's name for it is "long non-coding RNA (BNAP_LNC025464)". Lineage: Eukaryota; Viridiplantae; Streptophyta; Magnoliopsida; Brassicales; Brassicaceae. The record is from RNAcentral.